AUGGCAAACGCCAAGCUUGUAGUCAUGGCCAUCCUUGUAAUCCUGCUGCAGGUGUCGACGUGCGCCGUGGCCCGGCACCACGCCAAGCCGGACCCGUGCGCCAGCGAGGACGACUCCGUGCCGGGCAUGCUGCACAAGCACAAGCACAAGAAGCCCCACUGCCCCUCGCCGGGCGGCACCGGUGGCGGCGGCGGCCGCGGCGGCACCCCAGGCGUGAUGACGGUGAACGGCUUCGAGAAGGGCCAGGAGGGCGGCCCGCCGUCGGAGUGCGACGGCAAGUUCCACAGCAACAAGGACAUGAUCGUGGCGCUGUCGACGAGGUGGUACGCGGGCGGACGCCGGUGCGGCAAGAUGAUCAACAUCACCAGCAAGCAUAACGGGCGCACCGUGCAGGCCAAGGUGGUGGACGAGUGCGACUCCAACCACGGCUGCAAGACCAAUAUCGUGGACACCUCCGAAGCCGUGUGGAAGGCGCUCGGGCUCGACAGCAACAUCGGCGAGGUGCCCGUCACAUGGUCCGACGCCUGA
Molecule: ribosomal RNA, 528 nt
Filed under: Triticum aestivum (bread wheat)
Lineage: Eukaryota; Viridiplantae; Streptophyta; Magnoliopsida; Poales; Poaceae
Description: partial small subunit ribosomal RNA
Source: RNAcentral